GGGUCUGUAGCUCAAUUGGUAGAGCAGCCGGUUUUUACCCGGUCGAUGCGGGUUCGAGACCCGACGGACCCACCA
RNAcentral lists this transfer RNA (75 nucleotides) under Roseibacillus persicicus. Its description in RNAcentral is "tRNA-Lys". It matches the Rfam family "tRNA". Rfam says of the family: Transfer RNA (tRNA) molecules are approximately 80 nucleotides in length. Their secondary structure includes four short double-helical elements and three loops (D, anti-codon, and T loops). Lineage: Bacteria; Pseudomonadati; Verrucomicrobiota; Verrucomicrobiia; Verrucomicrobiales; Verrucomicrobiaceae. The record is from RNAcentral.